GUGUCAGCAGCCGCGGUAAUACGUAGGGGGCAAGCGUUGUCCGGAUUUAUUGGGCGUAAAGAGCGUGUAGGCGGCCAGGCAGGUCCGCUGUGAAAACUCGAGGCUCAACCUCGAGAGGUCGGUGGAAGCCGUUUGGCUAGAGUCCGAAAGAGGAUCGCGGAAUUCCCGGUGUAGAGGUGAAAUUCGUAGAUAUCGGGAGGAACACCGGUGGCGAAGGCGGAUCUCUGGGCCAUUACUGACGCUGAGGAGCGAAAGCGUGGAGAGCGAACAGGAUUAGAUACCCUGGUAGUCC
RNAcentral lists this ribosomal RNA (292 nucleotides) under uncultured bacterium. RNAcentral describes it as "partial 16S ribosomal RNA". It matches the Rfam family "Bacterial small subunit ribosomal RNA", at positions 505 to 796 of the family's 1533-position model. The record is from RNAcentral.